GUAUAUAAAACUUAGAAAACAAAAAAUUAUGGCGGUAUCUUAAGCUUUUCAGAGGAAUUUGCUCUUUAAUGGAUAAAACACCUAAAUCUUACUAAAGUUGGUAAAGACAGUUUGUAUACCACUAUUAAAGCAAUUAUUAAUUAUAAUUGCUGUAAAUUUUACACAAAAAAUAAGUUAAGUCAAGGUGCAGCUUAAACUUUAGGAUGAAGUGAAUUACAAUUCUUUUUAGAUAAUUAUUUUUUUUCGAAAAAAAAUAAUAAUUAGGAUUGAAAGUAAAAAUUUUAAUAGAAUGAUUAUUUGAAUUAAGCUCUGAGAUAUGUAC
This 322-nucleotide ribosomal RNA is filed under the name Amblyomma sp. USNTC 107518. RNAcentral's name for it is "partial 12S ribosomal RNA". The record is from RNAcentral. Lineage: Eukaryota; Metazoa; Arthropoda; Arachnida; Ixodida; Ixodidae.